RNAcentral lists this long non-coding RNA (891 nucleotides) under Sorghum bicolor (sorghum). RNAcentral's name for it is "long non-coding RNA (SBIC_LNC018682)". Lineage: Eukaryota; Viridiplantae; Streptophyta; Magnoliopsida; Poales; Poaceae. The record is from RNAcentral.
UGGUAUUUAUACGCACACAGAUAAUCCGCAAGCGCACGGAUACCGUUGAAGCUUUUACCCGGUUAAAGGUUUUAUCGUAUCCACAGGGAAACGCGAGAACUAACUACGCUCUAACUUAACCUAGAUAGAUAGAUAGGUGUAAAUAGGAAAGAUGGUAGAAUCGAAUAAGAACAAUAUUAAAGGUAAGAUAACAAUAGGUGACAAUAUGGGAAUAGAGAGUAGAGCAAUUCUAAUAUAUGGGCGAUGGUAGCAGAAUAGAGAGGGUAACUAUGGUUUCUCUACUUCAAAGGGGUAUGUCUAUGUCCGGGAGGAACCACGUGAUAAGAGUACACCACAAAGGAUGCUUAUCCUUAGGCCGAUAAACCCUACCCAUCCUGCUAACGAGAGGUGGACUACAGAGGACCAACGUAACUGUCACCUACGCGGCCUACCACACGAUCCAGCUAGACAGGGGAUAUCCACAAGUAAUCUAGAUCUAAGCACCUCGCUUACACCUAUACUACAACUCUCACCUAUAGCGUCCUAUAGAUUAAAGUACUCAAAAGAGUUGUGAACCAGACCAUGCAUAAUGAAUUAGAAGUAGAUUACCAGAGUCAUCCCAUGAGCAAGCUUGAUUAGAGCUUGAUCAUGAAGAAGUACAACCGGAGGAAGAACCGACAGGCCGGCCUCUCCUCUAAUCUUCCUUCGCUCUCCAUCUCGCUGCUAUCUAGAUCUACUCUAGUUUAGAGAAGAGAGGAGAGCUCUCAUCUCUAAACCCUAGCUUUUGCUCUGUCUAUGAAUAAUGAAUAAUGAUCAAGGGGUGCCUCCUCCAGGGGCCAGGGGGUCUGGUUAUAUAGUCCCCUCAAGUGGACCUGGGCCGUCGGAUCAAACCGACAUUGAUUGAACGGUUAU